Molecule: long non-coding RNA, 292 nt
Organism: Bombyx mori (domestic silkworm)
Lineage: Eukaryota; Metazoa; Arthropoda; Insecta; Lepidoptera; Bombycidae
Exons: 2
Source: RefSeq, a predicted model, not a curated record
GCAGUACAUUUUUUGACUUCUGAAAAGACAGACAUACAAAGAGACGAAAAAGAACGAAUAAUAAUUGACCGUUCUUAAAUAAGAUAUUCAAGUGACCUUCGACCGUUCAACUACCCUCCAUGUUGUUUCCCGAGCGCUGUGACCCGUUUUCUUCACAUAAGAGCGCAGGACACACAGAGAAUCGAGGCUCUCCGUAUAUUGCAUCAGUGCUGUUGGUUUCCUCCAGGGCAGACUGUAGACCGACGGGGAUCAUCUGGGUGCAAGUCCCGCCACAAACCGCCCCGCCAAGACC